This 253-nucleotide ribosomal RNA is filed under the name uncultured bacterium. RNAcentral's name for it is "partial 16S ribosomal RNA". It matches the Rfam family "Bacterial small subunit ribosomal RNA", at positions 524 to 776 of the family's 1533-position model. The record is from RNAcentral.
UACAGAGGUCCCAAGCGUUGUUCGGAUUCACUGAGCGUAAAGGGUGCGUAGGUGGCCGGGUAAGUCUGAUGUGAAAUCUCCGAGCUUAACUCGGAAAUGGCAUUGGAUACUAUUCGACUGGAGGGUUGGAGGGGGGACUGGAAUUCUCGGUGUAGCAGUGAAAUGCGUAGAUAUCGAGAGGAACACCAGUGGCGAAGGCGGGUCUCUGGACAGUUCCUGACACUGAGGCACGAAGGCCAGGGGAGCAAACGGG